RNAcentral lists this ribosomal RNA (292 nucleotides) under uncultured bacterium. Its description in RNAcentral is "partial 16S ribosomal RNA". It matches the Rfam family "Bacterial small subunit ribosomal RNA", at positions 505 to 796 of the family's 1533-position model. The record is from RNAcentral.
GUGUCAGCCGCCGCGGUAAUACGUAGGGGGCAAGCGUUGUCCGGAAUCAUUGGGCGUAAAGAGCGUGUAGGCGGCUUGGUAAGUCGGCUGUGAAAGUCGGGGGCUCAACCCUCGAAUGCCGGCCGAUACUGUCAAGCUAGAGUCCGGAAGAGGCGAGUGGAAUUCCUGGUGUAGCGGUGAAAUGCGCAGAUAUCAGGAGGAACACCGAUGGCGAAGGCAGCUCGCUGGGACGGUACUGACGCUGAGACGCGAAAGCGUGGGGAGCAAACAGGAUUAGAAACCCCAGUAGUCC